This 497-nucleotide ribosomal RNA is filed under the name uncultured bacterium. RNAcentral's name for it is "partial 16S ribosomal RNA". It matches the Rfam family "Bacterial small subunit ribosomal RNA", at positions 28 to 507 of the family's 1533-position model. The record is from RNAcentral.
GAUGAACGCUGGCGGCGUGCCUAAUACAUGCAAGUCGAGCGAACAGACGCGGAGCUUGCUCCUCUGACGUUAGCGGCGGACGGGUGAGUAACACGUGGAUAAUCUACCUAUCAGACUGGGAUAACUUCGGGAAACCGGCGCUAAUACCGGAUAACAUGUUGCACCGCAUGGUUCAACAGUGAAAGACGGUCUUGCUGUCACUUCUAGAUGGAUCUGCGCCGCAUUAGCUAGUUGGUAAGGUAACGGCUUACCAAGGCAACGAUGCGUAGCCGACCUGAGAGGGUGAUCGGCCACACUGGAACUGAGACACGGUCCAGACUCCUACGGGAGGCAGCAGUAGGGAAUCGUCCGCAAUGGGCGAAAGCCUGACGGAGCAACGCCGCGUGAGUGAAGAAGGUCUUCGGAUCGUAAAACUCUGUUAUUAGGGAAGAACAAAUGUGUAAGUAACUAUGCACGUCUUGACGGUACCUAGUCAGAAAGCCACGGCUAACUACGUG